RNAcentral lists this ribosomal RNA (254 nucleotides) under uncultured bacterium. Its description in RNAcentral is "partial 16S ribosomal RNA". It matches the Rfam family "Bacterial small subunit ribosomal RNA", at positions 524 to 776 of the family's 1533-position model. The record is from RNAcentral.
UACGGGGGGAGCCAGCUUUGUUCGGAUUUACUGGGCGUAAAGGGCGCGUAGGCGGCCACGACAAGUCAGUUGUGAAAUCUCUGGGCUUAACUCAGAGCGGUCAACUGAUACUGUCGGGCUAGAGUGCAGAAGGGGCAACUGGAAUUCUCGGUGUAGCGGUGAAAUGCGUAGAUAUCGAGAGGAACACCUGCGGCGAAGGCGGGUUGCUGGGCUGACACUGACGCUGAGGCGCGAAAGCUAGGGGAGCGAACGGG